This 497-nucleotide ribosomal RNA is filed under the name uncultured bacterium. RNAcentral describes it as "partial 16S ribosomal RNA". It matches the Rfam family "Bacterial small subunit ribosomal RNA", at positions 28 to 507 of the family's 1533-position model. The record is from RNAcentral.
GAUGAACGCUGGCGGCGUGCCUAAUACAUGCAAGUCGAGCGAACAGACGAGGAGCUUGCUCCUUUGACGUUAGCGGCGGACGGGUGAGUAACACGUGGGUAACCUACCUAUAAGACUGGGAUAACUUCGGGAAACCGGAGCUAAUACCGGAUAAUAUUUCGAACCGCAUGGUUCGAUAGUGAAAGAUGGCUUUGCUAUCACUUAUAGAUGGACCUGCGCCGUAUUAGCUAGUUGGUAAGGUAACGGCUUACCAAGGCAACGAUACGUAGCCGACCUGAGAGGGUGAUCGGCCACACUAGAACUGAGACACGGUCCAGACUCCUACGGGAGGCAGCAGUAGGGAAUCUUCCGCAAUGGGCGAAAGCCUGACGGAGCAACGCCGCGUGAGUGAUGAAGGUCUUCGGAUCGUAAAACUCUGUUAUUAGGGAAGAACAAACGUGUAAGUAACUGUGCACGUCUUGACGGUACCUAAUCAGAAAGCCACGGCUAACUACGUG